GGUUGAUCCUGCCAGUAGUCAUAUGCUUGUCUCAAAGAUUAAGCCAUGCAUGUCUAAGUAUAAAUAGUAUACAGUGAAACUGCGAAUGGCUCAUUAAAACAGUUAUAGUUUAUUUGAUAAUCUUCUACAUGGAUACCCGUGGUAAUUCUAGAGCUAAUACAUGCUGAUUGACCUGACUUCUGGAAAGGUCGUAUUUAUUAGAUAUCAAACCAAUUGCCGCAAGGUAAUUGUGAUGAAUCACAGUAACUGAUCGAAUCUCAGCUAGUCUGAGAUAGGUCAUUCAAGUUUCUGC
This 292-nucleotide ribosomal RNA is filed under the name uncultured eukaryote. RNAcentral describes it as "partial 18S ribosomal RNA". It matches the Rfam family "Eukaryotic small subunit ribosomal RNA", at positions 6 to 310 of the family's 1831-position model. The record is from RNAcentral.